CAGCGGACAAACAACAACAACAACCCGGCGUCUGUGUGCCACUGCGAGGGACGACGAGGUCGAGAUGGACCGCGAUAGGCGAACAUUGGAAAUAAGAAGCAGGGAGAAAAGAAGGCGAGCAGGAGGAAUGUCACUUUGGAGGAGCGUGACGAAACCGAGAUGACGGACUCGGAGCGCAACUCGCCGAGCCCAUUCUGAGGACGCCGAGACAAUGUGAGGCUUUUAUCAGCAAGCCGAGGAAUCUGGAUCAACAGUAUGCAAAACAUACACCAAAAUAAAUGCAACCAAACAUGUUGCAACAGCAGAACCUCGCUGGGUUUUUGUGCUUCCUAUAAAAAAAUAAAGUUUCACAUAAUGACAAAAUGAGCUGCAGCUCCUGAUGCAGUCAGGGUGGCAUGUCUGUAUCUGACAGCAGAGCUGCUGCUGGUGUCGGGGGGGGUGUUGGUAUCUUUCAUUAUUUCCAGCCCAGGAAUGCAGCAAUCACUAUUAACUCGCCAAGCGCCAAGCUUUUUUUUUCUUCUUUCCCUUCUCCACAAACUAGUUGCAACAUGCCGUAGAUGAAGAAAAUCAUUGUUAUCUUUCUCCUCUAUUAGCAGUCUGACAGAGUUGUUCUACACUGAGGAGCGUGCACACACCGAAUCCCCAAAGAGCCACACAUUUAACACG
Molecule: long non-coding RNA, 666 nt
Organism: Poecilia latipinna (sailfin molly)
Lineage: Eukaryota; Metazoa; Chordata; Actinopteri; Cyprinodontiformes; Poeciliidae
Exons: 2
Source: RefSeq, a predicted model, not a curated record